RNAcentral lists this ribosomal RNA (370 nucleotides) under uncultured bacterium. Its description in RNAcentral is "bacterial SSU rRNA". It matches the Rfam family "Bacterial small subunit ribosomal RNA", at positions 28 to 399 of the family's 1533-position model. The record is from RNAcentral.
GACGAACGCUGGCGGCGUGCUUAACACAUGCAAGUCGAGCGGUAAGGCUCCUUCGGGAGUACACGAGCGGCGAACGGGUGAGUAACACGUGAGCAAUCUGCCCUUCACUUUGGGAUAACUCCGGGAAACCGGUGCUAAUACCGAAUGCGACCACUUCAGGCAUCUGACGGUGGUGGAAAGUUCCGGCGGUGAAGGAUGAGCUCGCGGCAUAUCAGCUUGUUGGUGAGGUAAUGGCUCACCAAGGCUUCGACGGGUAGCCGGCCUGAGAGGGUGACCGGCCACACUGGGACUGAGACACGGCCCAGACUCCUACGGGAGGCAGCAGUGGGGAAUAUUGGACAAUGGGCGAAAGCCUGAUCCAGCAACGCCG